GACGGGGCCGCACAAGCGGAGGAGUAUGUGGUUUAAUUCGAUGCAACGCGAAGAACCUUACCUGGUCUUGACAUCCCGGAGACCCUUAGGAAACUAGGGGGUGCUUCCAUCUGGAAGAAUCUGGAGACAGGUGCUGCAUGGCUGUCGUCAGCUCGUGUCGUGAGAUGUUGGGUUAAGUCCCGCAACGAGCGCAACCCUUGCCUUUAGUUGCCAGCAGUUCGGCUGGGCACUCUAAAGGGACUGCCGGUGUUAAACCGGAGGGAGGUGGGGAUGACGUCAAGUCCUCAUGGCCUUUAUGACCAGGGCUACACACGUACUACAAUGGCCGAUACAAAGGGCAGCGACACUGCGAGGUGAAGCCAAUCCCGUAAAAUCGGUCUCAGUCCGGAUUGGAGUCUGCAACUCGACUCCAUGAAGUUGGAAUCGCUAGUAAUCGCGGAUCAGCAUGCCACGGUGAAUACGUUCCCGGGCCUU
This 474-nucleotide ribosomal RNA is filed under the name uncultured Desulfobulbus sp. RNAcentral describes it as "bacterial SSU rRNA". It matches the Rfam family "Bacterial small subunit ribosomal RNA", at positions 917 to 1381 of the family's 1533-position model. Lineage: Bacteria; Pseudomonadati; Thermodesulfobacteriota; Desulfobulbia; Desulfobulbales; Desulfobulbaceae. The record is from RNAcentral.